GACGAACGCUGGCGGCGUGCUUAACACAUGCAAGUCGAGCGGAAAGGCCCUUUCGGGGGUACUCGAGCGGCGAACGGGUGAGUAACACGUGAGUAAUCUGCCCCUGGCUUUGGGAUAGCCACCGGAAACGGUGAUUAAUACCGGAUACGACCACUUCUCACCUGGGAUGGGGGUGGAAAGUUUUUCGGCCAGGGAUGUGCUCGCGGCCUAUCAGCUUGAUGGUGAGGGAAUGGCUCACCAUGGCUUCGACGGGUAGCCGGCCUGAGAGGGUGACCGGUCACACUGGGACUGAGACACGGCCCAGACGCCUACGGGAGGCAGCAGUGGGGAAUAUUGGACAAUGGGCGGAAGCCUGAUCCAGCAACGCCGCGUGAGGGAUGACGGCCUUCGGGUUGUAAACCUCUUUCAGCAGGGACGAAGCGCAAGUGACGGUACCUGCAGAAGAAGCACCGGCCAACUACGUGCCAGCAGCCGCCGUAA
Molecule: ribosomal RNA, 480 nt
Filed under: uncultured bacterium
Lineage: Bacteria
Description: partial 16S ribosomal RNA
Rfam family: Bacterial small subunit ribosomal RNA
Source: RNAcentral